This 406-nucleotide ribosomal RNA is filed under the name uncultured bacterium. RNAcentral describes it as "partial 16S ribosomal RNA". It matches the Rfam family "Bacterial small subunit ribosomal RNA", at positions 28 to 526 of the family's 1533-position model. The record is from RNAcentral.
GACGAACGCUGGCGGCGUGCCUAAUACAUGCAAGUCGAACGAGUGGCGGACGGGUGAGUAACACGUGGGAACCUAGCCAGCAGAGGGGGAUAAAGAUUGGAAACGGGGGCAAAUACAGCAUACUAUCGGAUGAACUGAGAUGGGAUUAGGUAGUAGGUGGGGUAAAGGCUCACAUAGGUGACGAUCUCUAGCUGGUCUUAGAGGAUGAUCCGCCACACUGGGACUGAGACACGGCCCAGACUCCUACGGGAGGCAGCAGUGGGGAAUAUUGCACAAUGGGCGCAAGCCUGAUCCAGCCAUGCCGCGUGUAUGAAGAAGGCCUUAGGGUUGUAAAGUUCUUUCGGCGGAGAAGCGGUACCCGCAGAAUAAGCACCGGCUAACUCCGUGCCAGCAGCCGCGGUAAUUC